Molecule: ribosomal RNA, 460 nt
Filed under: uncultured bacterium
Lineage: Bacteria
Description: partial 16S ribosomal RNA
Rfam family: Bacterial small subunit ribosomal RNA
Source: RNAcentral
CCUACGGGCGGCAGCAGUGAGGAAUAUUGGUCAAUGGCCGGAAGGCUGAACCAGCCAAGUCGCGUGAAGGAAGAAGGAUCUAUGGUUUGUAAACUUCUUUUAUAGGGGAAUAAACGUCUCCACGUGUGGAUUUUUGCAUGUACCCUAUGAAUAAGCAUCGGCUAACUACGUGCCAUCAGCCGCGGUAAUACGGAGGAUGUGAGCGUUAUCCGGAUUUAUUGGGUUUAAAGGGUGCGUAGGUUGUUUUUUAAGUCAGCUGUGAAAGUUUGUGGCUCAACCAUAAAAUUGCAGUUGAAACUGGAAGACUUGAGUGUGUUUGAGGUAGGCGGAAUGCGUGGUGUAGCGGUGAAAUGCAUAGAUAUCACGCAGAACACCGAUUGCGAAGGCAGCUUACUAGGCCAUAACUGACACUGAGGCACGAAAGCGUGGGGAUCAAACAGGAUUAGAUACCCGAGUAGUC